Molecule: ribosomal RNA, 253 nt
Filed under: uncultured bacterium
Lineage: Bacteria
Description: partial 16S ribosomal RNA
Rfam family: Bacterial small subunit ribosomal RNA
Source: RNAcentral
UACGUAGGGGGCAAGCGUUGUCCGGAGUUACUGGGCGUAAAGCGCACGCAGGCGGUCUGUUAAGUUUGGAGUGCCAGUUGGUGGCUUAACUGCCAAAGUGCUUUGAAAACUGACAGACUUGAGGGCUUCAGAGGGACACGGAAUUCCGGGUGGAGUGGUGAAAUGCGUAGAGAUCCGGAGGAACACCGAAGGCGAAGGCAGUGUCCUGGGGAGUACCUGACGCUCAGGUGCGAAAGCCAGGGGAGCGAACGGG